GACAUGGAAGGAGUGGGGGAGGCUUGGACCCCUGGACGACCCUUGGCAGCUGGGAACGGGUGGGCACAAGGACAGUGGUGACGGCUGGGCCUGGUGGGCACUGAGGGUGGCAGGAGGGACGGGAGCCAGAGGAGAAGGCACCGUCCCUUUCCUGCCUCCCCCCAGCCCAGGCUGCACCCGGCUGGCUGGGCCAGCGCCUCCUCCUCCCUCACCACUCAGAUUCCAGUGCAAUUCCCAGCUAACCAGCACGUCGAUAGAACAAGUCAGUCACACAGUGCUGGCCAAUUACAGGAAAUCAUUCCGCUCCACCGCUCAGUGCUCACCCUCGGGAGACGGAGGCUGGCAGGAGGAAGAAAGGCUGAGGCUGGGCAGAAAGGCAGAGGGACCCGAAAAUAUAAAUCAAUAUGUGACUUUAAUAUAUGAUCUUGGUGGCUGUGUGUGCUGGGGAUUAUUAGCAACCUUGAUUUCAGCUCAGUGUCCAGUCGGGGCGGGGACGCAAGGCCCCCAGGGAGGAGGAGAGAAAUUAGGAAGCCAAAUCCUCCUUUUGAUUGACACCUGGGUAAACAUUAUCCUGGCAGAAGGGGAAGAAAAAGAGAUCAAUGCUGGGUAUUUUUAUCACAUUCCAGGGAUGGACAGGGGGAGAGAUUAAAGAAGCAGUCACCUAAGGGGAUCGACCCCAAAGUGGGGCGGGGCA
Long non-coding RNA from Heterocephalus glaber (naked mole-rat), 694 nucleotides. The record is from Ensembl. Lineage: Eukaryota; Metazoa; Chordata; Mammalia; Rodentia; Bathyergidae.